This 292-nucleotide ribosomal RNA is filed under the name uncultured bacterium. RNAcentral describes it as "partial 16S ribosomal RNA". It matches the Rfam family "Bacterial small subunit ribosomal RNA", at positions 505 to 796 of the family's 1533-position model. The record is from RNAcentral.
GUGCCAGCCGCCGCGGUAAUACGUAGGGUGCGAGCGUUAAUCGGAAUUACUGGGCGUAAAGCGUGCGCAGGCGGUUCGUGAAGUCCGAUGUGAAAGCCCCGGGCUCAACCUGGGAAUGGCAUUGGAAACUGGCGGGCUAGAGUGUGGCAGAGGGGGGUGGAAUUCCUGGUGUAGCAGUGAAAUGCGUAGAGAUCAGGAGGAACACCGAUGGCGAAGGCAGCCCCCUGGGCUGACACUGACGCUCAGGCACGAAAGCGUGGGGAGCAAACAGGAUUAGAAACCCCCGUAGUCC